Nicotiana tabacum (common tobacco) is the source of this 594-nucleotide long non-coding RNA. RefSeq lists it as uncharacterized. NCBI's taxonomy places the organism in Eukaryota, Viridiplantae, Streptophyta, Magnoliopsida, Solanales, Solanaceae. The record is from RefSeq and is a predicted model, not a curated record.
AGGAGCACCGUUUACUCCAAGAAAAAGAUCAGAACCUUCCCUCCCAUUUUCUUCUUGGUUCUCGCCUUCACACACAGAAAUCAGACCUUCCCUUCCCUUCCUAAGGAAAACCAACACAAAUUGGGAAAAGAAAAAAUGUUGCCUCGUCCUUUUAUGGCAUUGGCACUUCUGCCUAAUUCUUUCUAGGCAAAUCGAGAAGCUCUCACACCAAAAAAUCUUAUGUAUAAAAUCACCCAUAUUUCUUCCAACCUCGAAAUUUUUCUUUAAUUCCGAGUGCUUUAGGAUUCAUCAUUAUAUGACUUCUCACUCGUAUUCCGUCUUUGCUGUCAAAAGAGAAAAACAAGAAAAGGGGAAAAGACAAAGUUGUUUUGAAAUUUCAGCAUGCUUGGUUGAUUGUAUUUGGGGUUUCAAAGGAUUUCGAGCCAUAGGACUGUUGUUUGCUGUGAUGUUUCUGUUGAUCUCCAUCCUUCAUUUUUGCUUUCAUUUGGUUGCUUUUUUGGAGUACUGCUGCCCAAGAAUUUAGGUUUUCACCAUGAGGCACAAGGUUUGAAAUGACCAAAAGAAGAAGUCUCAACCCAAAUAAAAGAAAAGAAG